UUCAGGUGUGUCUCUCAAUGAGGUUCGCCGUCCUUUAUAUAGUGGUGAAAGGACCGUUGUAAUGAUGGCAGAAUAUUGACUUUGAUGAGAGUUUAAUGCCAUUACUUCUGUGUUUCUUGCCAUAACAGAUUUGUCUCCUUGAGUAACUUCCUUCCAAAUUUACUUUCUUUCCAUUUGAAGUUGUAGUUUCCGUUACUCUUUCU
RNAcentral lists this long non-coding RNA (203 nucleotides) under Lathyrus oleraceus (garden pea). RNAcentral's name for it is "Pisum sativum (pea) long non-coding RNA (PSAT_LNC011528)". The record is from RNAcentral. Lineage: Eukaryota; Viridiplantae; Streptophyta; Magnoliopsida; Fabales; Fabaceae.